UAAAACAGCCAUAUCACCCUGCAGCCCAAGACUGGUUACUCACUGAAGCCAAGCAGGGUUAAGCAUGGUCAGCACCAGGAUGGGAGACCACAUGGAAAAUCGAGCUUGCUCUUGGAA
Molecule: ribosomal RNA, 117 nt
Filed under: Danio rerio (zebrafish)
Lineage: Eukaryota; Metazoa; Chordata; Actinopteri; Cypriniformes; Danionidae
Source: RNAcentral